AUGCAUGAGUUAACUAAGGAAAACAUUGAGCGCAUGAAUGCUAAAUAUAAACUUGCUGGAGAUAAGGGUAGAAAACAUGUUGUGUUUGCACCUGGAGAUCUUCUUUGGUUACAUUUGCGUAAGGAUAGAUUUCCUGAUUUGCGCAAAUCAAAGUUAAUGCCACGGGCUGAUGGUCCCUUUAAGGUGUUAGAGAAAAUAAAUGAUAAUGCAUAUAAACUUGAGCUGCCUGCAGAUUUUGGGGUUAGUCCCACUUUUAACAUUGCAGAUUUGAAGCCUUAUUUGGGUGAGGAAGAUGAACAUCCGUCGAGGACGACUUCAUUUCAAGAAGGGGAGGAUGAUGAGGACAUCAAUACAAUUGUUACACCCACAGCCCCUGCUGCUAUACAUACUGGACCAAUUACUAGAGCUCGUGCACGCCAACUAAAUUACCAGGAAACAGACCCUCGUGGUCAGGUUGAUCGUGCUCCGGCGUGGUCAAUAACCUCUCGGAGUUGGUUUAGCGAUUGCUAA
Molecule: ribosomal RNA, 510 nt
Filed under: Triticum aestivum (bread wheat)
Lineage: Eukaryota; Viridiplantae; Streptophyta; Magnoliopsida; Poales; Poaceae
Description: partial small subunit ribosomal RNA
Source: RNAcentral